This 168-nucleotide microRNA precursor is filed under the name Pelobates cultripes (western spadefoot toad). The record is from RNAcentral. Lineage: Eukaryota; Metazoa; Chordata; Amphibia; Anura; Pelobatidae.
GCAGACACAUUCCAGCAAAUCAGCAGCAGACCCUCCCUCCCAGACCCUCCCACCGCCUGGACAGUAUCCAUUUUACAUUCAUUGUGAAGCUGCAUUCUUAGUGAGCUGUCCAGGAGGUGGGAGGGUCUGGGAGGGAGAGUCUGCUGCUGAUUGGCUGGAAUGUGUCUG